AACUAUCAGGGUACUUUGGAACUAUCUUCUUUCUUAUUGAUGGUUGUUUUGCUUAUUGAUGGUCGUUUUGUUAUUCUAUCUCUUUGCUUCACAUUUCGGAUCUUCGAGGUACCGUCUCCUGCGCUGAAUUCCGGCUUCCGACCUGACGCCUGGGCGACGAGACCGAGGGAAAGCAGAUUCUCCUGAGCGCUGGCUGAGUGAACACUACCUAGACUCACCUCUGCCUCCGGAAGUAUUCUUUUGUGAAGUCUUAAUCACCACUCGCUUUGGGGGGCUUGAACCAGUCUCCUGGCAGCCUUGUCUAGCCAGCUUUUGUCCAAGAGUAGCUCUUGGUUGAACCCCAUAUUACUCGGGUUUGCUGGUGGAUCUGUUUCCACCCCUGUUUCAAUCCUGGUCACUGCUGGAUACCGCUGUACCUACUCUCCACUCUUACACCCUGCUCCAUUCCUGGUCACCGCUGGAUACCGCUCCAACAAGAACAAGUGGAAGGCGGACGUUGGUCAUCCCUGCAGUGUUGCCUGGUGCUGUCUUUUGCCAUGAGUGUCCACUGUCAGGUCUUCUCGCACUCUAAGACUAGAGGGUUGGCAUCCCUGAAGAAAUACUCUCGUUCGUGGGACGCAGUAUGUCACAACUGACAGGUGAGCUCCAUAAGCUUCUGGGAGUAAAGCCGCUCGUCACCACACCGUACCACCUAAGUGGUGCUGGAAGAGUGGAAAGGUUCCAUUCCACUCUGAAGGCGUGCUUCUGGAAACUGCUCUGAAAAACCGCGUGAGUGGCACCGUUAUCUUCCUGCCACCUUGUUCUCUUCGAGGGAGAUGCCAAGUGACUGGGACAGGAUUCUCCUCUUCAGAGCUGCUUUACGGUAACGCGGAGGACCUCUUGCAGUUUUACGAAAUCCCUGGAGAUGCCAAGUGACCGGGACCGUAUUCUCCUCUUUAGAGCUCCUUUACGGAGUGCUUUACGGUAAGGCGGAGGACCUCUUGCAGUUCUACAAAAUCCCCGAGAUGAUAGUUUGUUUCCAAUAUGUAAUAGAGCUGAAAGACCAAUUAGCUGAAUGCUCCCGAGAAUGUUAACAUCAGUGCUACUAGGUAUAAAGCAUAUUUUGACGAAAUCACAAGAGUGGAACUUCAGACCUGGAGAUGAAGUCCUGGUGCUCCUGCCUGUCACUACCAACAAGCUCCUGAUGACCUAGGCUGGCCCACAUACCGUACUUAAGGAGAACCAGCUGUAACUAAUUGAUGAAAACGGUAAGCCUAAAUCUUGAGUAAAUCUUCUAAUUGCUCCCCAGUUAUGGUAAGUUUCAAGGGAGUAUUUAUUUCGGUGAGAUUGAUCUAACUAAAGCCUAUUAUCAGAUUCCACUCACUGAUAGCACUAAGCCACUUACUGCCUUUCCCACUCACAAAAGACUAAUGAAGUUUUGCUGGCACCCAUUUGGUUUAGUUGCAGCCUGUGCCACUUACAUCAGAUUAAUGAAGUUCGUCUUCGCACGACUAACAGGAGUAUCUUUCUACUUGGAUAAUAUUUUCAUCUAUGGAACAACCUGGACAGAACACAUCACUGCCCUCAAGUCCGUACUUUGGCAUCUUCAAGAACACGGCCUCACUGCUCGAGUAUCGAAGUGUCGAUUCUGGUUUGGAUCCAUUCAUCUGGGCUUCAUUGUGGAUGGUAAGACGCUUCGUCCUCAAAAUGAUAGUCUCUGCCAUUUCUUCUUGUAGUCCUCCAAGUACCAAAAAGCUACUUCGAUCUUCCUUGGGUAUGGUAUCUUUUUAUUGAGACUUUAUCCCCCAGACUUCCUCCUACAUAAGUUGUCUGUCUGACCUUGCCCGCAAAGGCAUCACCGAACCACUAGUCUGGAUCUUAAGGCUACCGGAUUCCACUCAUUCUUUCAUGCUACGAACGGAGGCUUCAAACCACGGGCUAGGAGCAGUCCUGCUUCAAUAUGUGGACGGCUGGCCUCUCCUUGGGAUAAUGUACCCGUGUGCUGCCAGGGACGUUUGUGUGAAGUGGAUGGGCGUGGUACCAGCGCUAGAGCAGCUACCUCUCUAAGUGGCGACCAACGUCCAUAUAAUUCGAGUGUGUUGUAUUAGUGAUUUUCUUUCAUUAAAGUGGUGCUUUGUUA
RNAcentral lists this long non-coding RNA (2119 nucleotides) under Portunus trituberculatus (swimming crab). Its description in RNAcentral is "uncharacterized LOC123518596, transcript variant X2". The record is from RNAcentral. Lineage: Eukaryota; Metazoa; Arthropoda; Malacostraca; Decapoda; Portunidae.